UUGGAGGGCAAGUCUGGUGCCAGCAGCCGCGGUAAUUCCAGCUCCAAUAGCGUAUAUUAAAGUUGCUGCAGUUAAAAAGCUCGUAGUUGAAUUUCGGGAUCAGAUUGUCGGUCGUGCCUCGGUACGCACUGGCAUUAUUGGUUCCUACCUUCUGAAGAACCGCGAUGUCAUUAAUUUGGUGUCGUGGGGAAUCAGGACUGUUACUUUGAAAAAAUUAGAGUGUUUAAAGCAGGCUUACGCUUGAAUACAUUAGCAUGGAAUAAUGAAAUAGGACGUUUGAUUCUAUUUUGUUGGUUUCUAGGAUUGACGUAAUGAUUAAUAGGGAUAGUUGGGGGCAUUAGUAUUCAAUUGUCAGAGGUGAAAUUCUUGGAUUUAUUGAAGACUAACUACUGCGAAAGCAUUUGCCAAGGAUGUUUUCAUUAAUCAAGAACGAAAGUUAGGGGAUCGAAGACGAUCAGAUACCGUCGUAGUCUUAACCAUAAACUAUGCCGACUAGGGAUCGGAUGAUGUUAAUUUAUAAUGACUCAUUCGGCGCCUUACGAAAC
RNAcentral lists this ribosomal RNA (545 nucleotides) under uncultured Glomeromycotina. RNAcentral's name for it is "SSU rRNA". It matches the Rfam family "Eukaryotic small subunit ribosomal RNA", at positions 548 to 1096 of the family's 1831-position model. Lineage: Eukaryota; Fungi; Glomeromycota. The record is from RNAcentral.